RNAcentral lists this ribosomal RNA (414 nucleotides) under uncultured bacterium. RNAcentral's name for it is "partial 16S ribosomal RNA". It matches the Rfam family "Bacterial small subunit ribosomal RNA", at positions 355 to 759 of the family's 1533-position model. The record is from RNAcentral.
UGGGGAAUAUUGCACAAUGGGCGCAAGCCUGAUGCAGCCAUGCCGCGUGUGUGAAGAAGGCCUUCGGGUUGUAAAGCACUUUCAGCGAGGAGGAAGGUGGUGAACUUAAUACGUUCAUCAAUUGACGUUACUCGCGGAAGAAGCACCGGCUAACUCCGUGCCAGCAGCCGCGGUAAUACGGAGGGUGCAAGCGUUAAUCGGAAUUACUGGGCGUAAAGCGCACGCAGGCGGUUUGUUAAGUCAGAUGUGAAAUCCCCGGGCUCAACCUGGGAACUGCAUUUGAAACUGGCAAGCUAGAGUCUCGUAGAGGGGGGCUAGAAUUCCAGGUGUAGCGGUGAAAUGCGUAGAGAUCUGGAGGAAUACCGGUGGCGAAGGCGGCCCCCCUGGANGAAGACUGACGCUCAGGUGCGAAAA